This 254-nucleotide ribosomal RNA is filed under the name uncultured bacterium. Its description in RNAcentral is "partial 16S ribosomal RNA". It matches the Rfam family "Bacterial small subunit ribosomal RNA", at positions 524 to 776 of the family's 1533-position model. The record is from RNAcentral.
UACGUAGGGUGCAAGCGUUGUCCGGAAUUAUUGGGCGUAAAGAGCUCGUAGGUGGUUCGGUAAGUCGGAUGUGAAAUCUCCAGGCUCAACCUGGAGGGGUCAUUCGAUACUGCCGUGACUAGAGGUCGGUAGGGGAGUGUGGAAUUCCUGGUGGAGCGGUGAAAUGCGCAGAUAUCAGGAGGGACACCCGUAGCGAAGGCGGCACUCUGGGCCGAUACUGACACUGAGGAGCGAAAGCAUGGGUAGCAAACAGG